CAGUAGCCGCGGGAAUACGAAGGGGGCUAGCGUUGCUCGGAAUCACUGGGCGUAAAGGGUGCGUAGGCGGGUCUUUAAGUCAGGGGUGAAAUCCUGGAGCUCAACUCCAGAACUGCCUUUGAUACUGAAGAUCUUGAGUUCGGGAGAGGUGAGUGGAACUGCGAGUGUAGAGGUGAAAUUCGUAGAUAUUCGCAAGAACACCAGUGGCGAAGGCGGCUCACUGGCCCGAUACUGACGCUGAGGCACGAAAGCGUGGGGAGCAAACAGGAUUAGAUACCCCCGUAGUCCCUGUCUCUUAUAA
Molecule: ribosomal RNA, 301 nt
Filed under: uncultured bacterium
Lineage: Bacteria
Description: partial 16S ribosomal RNA
Rfam family: Bacterial small subunit ribosomal RNA
Source: RNAcentral